This 758-nucleotide ribosomal RNA is filed under the name uncultured bacterium. RNAcentral's name for it is "bacterial SSU rRNA". It matches the Rfam family "Bacterial small subunit ribosomal RNA", at positions 8 to 796 of the family's 1533-position model. The record is from RNAcentral.
AGAGUUUGAUCAUGGCUCAGAACGAACGCUGGCGGCAUGCCUAACACAUGCAAGUCGAACGCGUGGCUUCGGCCACGAGUGGCGCACGGGUGAGUAACGCGUGGGAACCUGCCCAUGGGUACGGAACAACCGCGGGAAACUGCGGCUAAUACCGUAUAAGCCCCGAGGGGUAAGAGCCUUGGGGGAAAGAUUGAUCGCCGAUGGAGGGGCCCGCGUCGGAUUAGGUAGUUGGUGGGGUAACGGCCUACCAAGCCGACGAUCCGUAGCUGGUCUGAGAGGAUGAUCAGCCACACUGGGACUGAGACACGGCCCAGACUCCUACGGGAGGCAACAGUGGGGAAUAUUGGACAAUGGGCGCAAGCCUGAUCCAGCAAUGCCGCGUGAGUGAAGAAGGCCUUAGGGUUGUAAAGCUCUUUCGGCGGGGACGAUGAUGACGGUACCCGCAGAAGAAGCCCCGGCUAACUCCGUGCCAGCAGCCGCGGUAAUACGGAGGGGGCUAGCGUUGUUCGGAAUUACUGGGCGUAAAGGGCGCGUAGGCGGUUCAUCAAGUCGGGCGUGAAAGGCCUGGGCUCAACCCGGGAAUGGCGCUCGAGACUGGUGGGCUUGGAGUCCGGGAGAGGAUGGUGGAAUUCCCAGUGUAGAGGUGAAAUUCGUAGAUAUUGGGAAGAACCCGGUGGCGAAGGCGGCCAUCUGGACCGGUACUGACGCUGAGGCGCGAAAGCGUGGGGAGCAAACAGGAUUAGAUACCCUAGUAGUCC